This 426-nucleotide ribosomal RNA is filed under the name uncultured bacterium. RNAcentral describes it as "partial 16S ribosomal RNA". It matches the Rfam family "Bacterial small subunit ribosomal RNA", at positions 354 to 796 of the family's 1533-position model. The record is from RNAcentral.
GUGAGGAAUUUUCCGCAAUGGGCGAAAGCCUGACGGAGCAAUGCCGCGUGAAGGAUGAAGGCCUAUGGGUUGUAAACUUCUUUUCUCAGAAAAGAAUUAUGACGGUAUCUGAGGAAUAAGCAUCGGCUAACUCUGUGCCAGCAGCCGCGGUAAGACAGAGGAUGCAAGCGUUAUCCGGAAUGAUUGGGCGUAAAGCGUCUGUAGGUUGUUUAAAAAGUAUUCUGUCAAAGAUUAGGGCUUAACCCUAGAUAGGCAGAAUAAACUUUUAAGCUAGAGUUUGGUAGAGGCAGAGGGAAUUCCCGGUGGAGCGGUGAAAUGCGUAGAUAUCGGGAGGAACACCAAAGGCGAAGGCACUCUGCUGGGCCAAUACUAACACUGAGAGACGAAAGCGAGGGGAGCAAAUGGGAUAAGAAACCCCGGUAGUCC